This 1358-nucleotide ribosomal RNA is filed under the name uncultured bacterium. RNAcentral describes it as "bacterial SSU rRNA". It matches the Rfam family "Bacterial small subunit ribosomal RNA", at positions 28 to 1381 of the family's 1533-position model. The record is from RNAcentral.
GAUGAACGCUAGCUACAGGCUUAACACAUGCAAGUCGAGGGGCAGCAUGGUCUUAGCUUGCUAAGGCCGAUGGCGACCGGCGCACGGGUGAGUAACACGUAUCCAACCUGCCGUCUACUCUUGGACAGCCUUCUGAAAGGAAGAUUAAUACAAGAUGGCAUCAUGAGUCCGCAUGUUCACAUGAUUAAAGGUAUUCCGGUAGACGAUGGGGAUGCGUUCCAUUAGAUAGUAGGCGGGGUAACGGCCCACCUAGUCUUCGAUGGAUGGGGGUUCUGAGAGGAAGGUCCCCCACAUUGGAACUGAGACACGGUCCAAACUCCUACGGGAGGCAGCAGUGAGGAAUAUUGGUCAAUGGGCGAGAGCCUGAACCAGCCAAGUAGCGUGAAGGAUGACUGCCCUAUGGGUUGUAAACUUCUUUUAUAAAGGAAUAAAGUCGGGUAUGGAUACCCGUUUGCAUGUACUUUAUGAAUAAGGAUCGGCUAACUCCGUGCCAGCAGCCGCGGUAAUACGGAGGAUCCGAGCGUUAUCCGGAUUUAUUGGGUUUAAAGGGAGCGUAGAUGGAUGUUUAAGUCAGUUGUGAAAGUUUGCGGCUCAACCGUAAAAUUGCAGUUGAUACUGGAUAUCUUGAGUGCAGUUGAGGCAGGCGGAAUUCGUGGUGUAGCGGUGAGAUGCUUAGAUAUCACGAAGAACUCCGAUUGCGAAGGCAGCCUGCUAAGCUGCAACUGACAUUGAGGCUCGAAAGUGUGGGUAUCAAACAGGAUUAGAUACCCUGGUAGUCCACACGGUAAACGAUGAAUACUCGCUGUUUGCGAUAUACUGCAAGCGGCCAAGCGAAAGCGUUAAGUAUUCCACCUGGGGAGUACGCCGGCAACGGUGAAACUCAAAGGAAUUGACGGGGGCCCGCACAAGCGGAGGAACAUGUGGUUUAAUUCGAUGAUACGCGAGGAACCUUACCCGGGCUUAAAUUGCAGAUGAAUUACGGUGAAAGCCGUAAGCCGCAAGGCAUCUGUGAAGGUGCUGCAUGGUUGUCGUCAGCUCGUGCCGUGAGGUGUCGGCUUAAGUGCCAUAACGAGCGCAACCCUUGUUGUCAGUUACUAACAGGUUCCGCUGAGGACUCUGACAAGACUGCCAUCGUAAGAUGUGAGGAAGGUGGGGAUGACGUCAAAUCAGCACGGCCCUUACGUCCGGGGCUACACACGUGUUACAAUGGGGGGUACAGAGGGCCGCUACCACGCGAGUGGAUGCCAAUCCCCAAAACCUCUCUCAGUUCGGACUGGAGUCUGCAACCCGACUCCACGAAGCUGGAUUCGCUAGUAAUCGCGCAUCAGCCACGGCGCGGUGAAUACGUUCCCGGGCCU